Pygocentrus nattereri (red-bellied piranha) is the source of this 462-nucleotide non-coding RNA. The record is from the annotation of a RefSeq genome assembly. Lineage: Eukaryota; Metazoa; Chordata; Actinopteri; Characiformes; Serrasalmidae.
GCAACCAUGACUUUGGUCUCCAUCUUCAUCUGGACGCUCACCCUCUGGACUCAAGGAUCCAGUGGUCAGGUCACAGUGACUCAGACACCUGCAGUGAAAACUGUUUCUCCAGGAGACUCAGUUACCAUCAGCUGUAAGUUGAGCAGCAAUGUUAAUCCCUACUGUGGUGGGUCAAAUGACUGUUUAGCCUGGUAUCAGCAGAAACCUGGAGAAGCCCCUAAACUCCUGAUCUACUAUGCUACCAGUAGACAGUCAGGUAUUCCAGCUCGUUUCAGUGGCAGUGGAUCUGGAUCUGACUUCACUCUGACCAUCAGUAAUGUCCAGACUGACGAUGCAGGAGAUUUUUACUGUCAGAGUUUUCAUUAUAUCAGUAGCACACACCUGUUCCCACAUGCAGAACUUCGCAAGAGUCUAACUGGACCUGAUGGACACAGUGGUCACCAGCAGUUGGUGUGCUGUUAG